Molecule: ribosomal RNA, 445 nt
Filed under: Salmonella enterica
Lineage: Bacteria; Pseudomonadati; Pseudomonadota; Gammaproteobacteria; Enterobacterales; Enterobacteriaceae
Description: bacterial SSU rRNA
Rfam family: Bacterial small subunit ribosomal RNA
Source: RNAcentral
AAAUUGAAGAGUUUGAUCAUGGCUCAGAUUGAACGCUGGCGGCAGGCCUAACACAUGCAAGUCGAACGGUAACAGGAAGCAGCUUGCUGCUUCGCUGACGAGUGGCGGACGGGUGAGUAAUGUCUGGGAAACUGCCUGAUGGAGGGGGAUAACUACUGGAAACGGUGGCUAAUACCGCAUAACGUCGCAAGACCAAAGAGGGGGACCUUCGGGCCUCUUGCCAUCAGAUGUGCCCAGAUGGGAUUAGCUAGUUGGUGAGGUAACGGCUCACCAAGGCGACGAUCCCUAGCUGGUCUGAGAGGAUGACCAGCCACACUGGAACUGAGACACGGUCCAGACUCCUACGGGAGGCAGCAGUGGGGAAUAUUGCACAAUGGGCGCAAGCCUGAUGCAGCCAUGCCGCGUGUAUGAAGAAGGCCUUAGGGUUGUAAAGUACUUUCAGCGG